This 459-nucleotide ribosomal RNA is filed under the name uncultured bacterium. RNAcentral's name for it is "partial 16S ribosomal RNA". It matches the Rfam family "Bacterial small subunit ribosomal RNA", at positions 338 to 795 of the family's 1533-position model. The record is from RNAcentral.
CCUACGGGAGGCAGCAGUGAGGAAUAUUGGUCAAUGGGAGAGAUCCUGAACCAGCCAAGCCGCGUGUGGGAAGACGGCCCUAUGGGUUGUAAACCUCUUCUGUCGGAGAACAAAACCCGGGACGUGUCCCGGACUGCGUGUAUCCGACGAAAAAGCAUCGGCCAACUCCGGGCCAGCAGCCGCGGUAAUACGGGGGAUGCGAUCGGUAUCCGGAUCUAGUGGGUUAAAGGGGUGCGUAGGCGGUCCGUUAAGUCAGCGGUAAAAUUGCGGGGCUCAACCCCGCCGAGCCGUUGAAACUGGCAGACUUGAGUUGGCGAGAAGUACGCGGAAUGCGCGGUGUAGCGGUGAAAUGCAUAGAUAUCGCGCAGAACUCCGAUUGCGAAGGCAGCGUACCGGCGCCAGACUGACGCUGAGGCACGAAAGCGUGGGGAUCGAACAGGAUUAGAUACCCGUGUAGUC